AGAGUUUGAUCCUGGCUCAGGACGAACGCUGGCGGCGUGCUUAACACAUGCAAGUCGAACGGAAAGGCCCUUCGGGGUACUCGAGUGGCGAACGGGUGAGUAACACGUGGGUGAUCUGCCCUGCACUUUGGGAUAAGCCUGGGAAACUGGGUCUAAUACCGAAUACACCUCGCUGGCCGCAUGGUCUGGUGGGGGAAAGCUUUUGCGGUGUGGGAUGGGCCCGCGGCCUAUCAGCUUGUUGGUGGGGUGAUGGCCUACCAAGGCGACGACGGGUAGCCGGCCUGAGAGGGUGACCGGCCACACUGGGACUGAGAUACGGCCCAGACUCCUACGGGAGGCAGCAGUGGGGAAUAUUGCACAAUGGGCGCAAGCCUGAUGCAGCGACGCCGCGUGGGGGAUGACGGCCUUCGGGUUGUAAACCCCUUUCAGCACAGACGAAGCGCGAGUGACGGUAUGUGCAGAAGAAGGACCGGCCAACUACGUGCCAGCAGCCGCGGUAAUACGUAGGGUCCGAGCGUUGUCCGGAAUUAUUGGGCGUAAAGGGCUCGUAGGCGGUUCGUCACGUCGGGAGUGAAAACUCGGAGCUCAACUCCGAGCCUGCUUCCGAUACGGGCAGACUAGAGGUAGGCAGGGGAGAGCGGAACUCCUGGUGUAGCGGUGGAAUGCGCAGAUAUCAGGAAGAACACCGGUGGCGAAGGCGGCUCUCUGGGCCUUACCUGACGCUGAGGAGCGAAAGCGUGGGUAGCGAACAGGAUUAGAUACCCUAGUAGUCC
RNAcentral lists this ribosomal RNA (773 nucleotides) under uncultured bacterium. RNAcentral's name for it is "bacterial SSU rRNA". It matches the Rfam family "Bacterial small subunit ribosomal RNA", at positions 8 to 796 of the family's 1533-position model. The record is from RNAcentral.